Molecule: ribosomal RNA, 253 nt
Filed under: uncultured bacterium
Lineage: Bacteria
Description: partial 16S ribosomal RNA
Rfam family: Bacterial small subunit ribosomal RNA
Source: RNAcentral
UACGGAGGAGGCAAGCGUUAUCUGGAAUUAUUGGGCGUAAAGCGUCCGUAGGUGGCUAGUCAAGUCUGCGGUCAAAGACUGGGGCUUAACCCUGGAAAGGCCGUGGAAACUGACGAGCUAGAGUGCAGUAGGGGUAGAGGGAAUUCCCGGUGUAGCGGUGAAAUGCGUAGAGCUCGGGAAGAACAUCGGUGGCGAAAGCGCUCUACUGGACUGCAACUGACACUCAGGGACGAAAGCUAGGGGAGCGAAUGGG